CGCCUCCCGUUCGCCUCUGCGCCUGGUCCGGCGACUGCGGGCGCCGCGGUCCACUGGGUCCGCCUCUUCCCGGCAGGGGUUUCUGCCCAGCUUACCCGCUGUCAGCUGGGGUCCUGCUCUGGUGGGAGGAAAAGGCUGAGACGCUUCCCUGCCCUGUUGCCUCAACCACCUCGCGGCAGCGGCUCCCAGGAUAUGCACUUUGACGACUGAAGCUGAGCCUGCGCCGCCACGACCUUGGGGGGGUGGUCGGCCUCUGCUCUGAGCAGGAAGUAGAAAGUCUCAGCAGACCCUACCUGAGGGCCGAGCAACAGUGUAUUCUACAUAGCAAACAGGGUGAAAAUGAGAAUUCACCUGUGGAACUCACUGGCCAUUGUGGAAGAAACAAGGGACACCUUGUAUUGCUGGAUGAUAAAAGAGGAACAAACUGAUGAAGUGCUGACAAGGCAAUGACAGAACGUGAGAGAUUUAUUGCUGCGUGGGAAGAGAUCUUCAGUGAUCAUGUAGCCUGAAGCUCUCAUUUUGUCAUCGAGGGACACCAAAACUCAGAGCAGUGUGGAUCAGUGUUAAAAGUGCUUCAUGGAGAAAUGGAAACCUGAAGGGACUCUGAAGGAGGAGUGGGGCUCAGCAAACAGCAGAUGAGUUUCAAUCCAAGCACCCAUUACCCCCCGCAACACACGGCAUACGUGCACCUCAUCUCCUCCUGUGUUGCUAAGAAGCUACCCAUGUGUCUGUCAUUAAUUCUCCAGAAUCCUUGGACACACCCUUCUGCAGGGCUUUCUAACAGGAAAUACAAGUCUCAGAUUUUUUUUUAAGUUAAAAUUGAGUACAGCACUCAUACCUUUCUUCAAGCAUGAACAGUCAAUCAACAAUGCCUCAUGAGCUACUGCUCUCCUGCUCUUUGACAAGACAAAUCUUUAUUUCUUUGUGGUGAUCCAGAAGGCAGUGGGAAGAAUGACAGGGGCUUGGUUAUCUUCAAUUUAAUCUCUACACUUCCAUGGGGCUGGUGCAAGCUAGGGCCAUUUUACUGCGCCCAAAGGAAUUUAAGACAUCUCUAUUAUCUCUAAAGAAUCCAGAUUAACAUGCCUUCUUUGUGGGCAGGGAGACCUGCUAUGAAUUCUAGGAUCUUAAUUCAAAUGCUUUCAAAUUCUUACUGCUUGUUCAGUUAAUUACAUAUAUG
Molecule: long non-coding RNA, 1177 nt
Organism: Rhinopithecus roxellana (golden snub-nosed monkey)
Lineage: Eukaryota; Metazoa; Chordata; Mammalia; Primates; Cercopithecidae
Exons: 4
Source: RefSeq, a predicted model, not a curated record